AUUGAACGCUGGCGGCAGGCCUAACACAUGCAAGUCGAGCGGAUGAAGGGAGCUUGCUCCUGGAUUCAGCGGCGGACGGGUGAGUAAUGCCUAGGAAUCUGCCUGGUAGUGGGGGAUAACGUCCGGAAACGGGCGCUAAUACCGCAUACGUCCUGAGGGAGAAAGUGGGGGAUCUUCGGACCUCACGCUAUCAGAUGAGCCUAGGUCGGAUUAGCUAGUUGGUGGGGUAAAGGCCUACCAAGGCGACGAUCCGUAACUGGUCUGAGAGGAUGAUCAGUCACACUGGAACUGAGACACGGUCCAGACUCCUACGGGAGGCGGCAGUGGGGAAUAUUGGACAAUGGGCGAAAGCCUGAUCCAGCCAUGCCGCGUGUGUGAAGAAGGUCUUCGGAUUUUAAAGCACUUUAAGUUGGGAGGAAGGGCAGUAAGUUAAUACCUUGCUGUUUUGACGUUACCAACAGAAUAAGCACCGGCUAACUUCGUG
Molecule: ribosomal RNA, 484 nt
Filed under: uncultured bacterium
Lineage: Bacteria
Description: partial 16S ribosomal RNA
Rfam family: Bacterial small subunit ribosomal RNA
Source: RNAcentral